ACAGCAGUAGCCGCGGGAAUACAGAGGGUGCGAGCGUUAAUCGGAUUUACUGGGCGUAAAGCGUGCGUAGGCGGCUAAUUGAGUCGGAUGUGAAAUCCCUGAGCUUAACUUAGGAAUUGCAUUCGAUACUGGGAAGCUAGAGUAUGGGAGAGGAUGGUAGAAUUCCAGGUGUAGCGGUGAAAUGCGUAGAGAUCUGGAGGAAUACCGAUGGCGAAGGCAGCCAUCUGGCCUAAUACUGACGCUGAGGUACGAAAGCAUGGGGAGCAAACAGGAUUAGAUACCCCAGUAGUCCCUGUCUCUUAUAC
This 305-nucleotide ribosomal RNA is filed under the name uncultured bacterium. Its description in RNAcentral is "partial 16S ribosomal RNA". It matches the Rfam family "Bacterial small subunit ribosomal RNA", at positions 508 to 807 of the family's 1533-position model. The record is from RNAcentral.